UUCAUGAUAUCUCUUAAACCUCUCCCCCUUCACUGCUUGCCCUCACAGGUUUGCGAUGGCAGAAGAACUGUAGUAAUCCAUUAUAAUUUUAUUCCCCUUUACUUAUAGAUAACUUGAAGGUCACGUUGUUCUGUUUUCUAGUUAUGCUGAUGACUCAAAUCAGGAAUGACUUUGUUGAGCUCUCCAGAUCCUUCCUGACUUCCUUCCUGAAACAAUGCAGUUGCCAAAAGCAGAAUUACGACUGGGCUGGGUGUGGUGGCUCACACCUGUAAUCCCAGCACUUAGGGAGGCCGAGGCAGAUGGAUCACCCGAGGUCAGGAGUUCAAGACCAGCUUUGCCAACAUGGUACAACUCUGGAGGACCUUCCGGAAACAGAAAACCCCAAGUGACUAGAAGACCUUGAAAAGCAGAAGAACGAUCAACCCCUUCAGUGCCUAACUACCUUGGGACAUUCUUCUAUUGUUUCUUAUUCUGGCCUCAAUUGACAAUGCCAUUGGACUGUGUAACCAACCUUGGUCAACCUUGUGACCCCCGACUCUACAACCCCCUCCCAUCUUGUAAAAUCACAAUGAGAUAUUGCUGCUUAUCCAUCAGAAUGGCUAAAAUAAUUUGGUAACAAUGUCCUAAACUGUAACUUCUGUAACUUUCCACUGCUUACCCCAAACCUAUAAAACCUACUUCUAUUCCUCUGCCCUCCACUGACUCUUUUCAGACUCAGCCUGCCUGCACCUGGGUGAAUAAACAACCACGUUGCUCACACAAAGCCUGUUUGUGGGGUCUCUUCAUUCAGAGCGCACAUUUUAACAGUAAAGUUCUGAGAAAGUAUGAACUCUUAUUUACUGCUGGUGCAGAUUAGGACAAGCUGAAAAUACUGAAACCAUGUAAUGAUGGGGUUCGGAGGCAUUGCUCCAAAUAUGACUGUAGAAGACCAGAAUAUGUUGCCCCAGAUAUGCCUCUUUUGCAUAAGAAUGAUUUUGAACUGGUUAUUUUGAGAAACUGUACACAUAGGACAAGCUCUGAAAAGUUACCCUUUUGUAACAUAAAUUUACAUCCAUAGAGAAACUGUUCCAUUUCCAAGAAACUGUUCACUUCCUUUCUGCACCAGGAAGAGAAAGAUAAUUAAAUCAUCAGAGACUCUUAAUCAAUGGAGAAGGCAUUGAUUAAAACCUGCACAACAAUAAUUCCUAACAACUGUAAUUUACAACUCAGGUAUUCAAAUCUAGACACUUAAGUUUUGUACUCCUUUGCAUGUAGGAGAAAUCGUUAUUUAUUUUUCUGAGACCUCCGGGGUCUUGCUCUGUCGCCAAGGCCGGAACACAGUGGCAUGAUCUCGGCUCACUGCAACCUCCAUCUGCCAGGUUCAAGUGAUUCUUCCAUCUCAGACUCUCUAGUACCACAGGCAUGUGCCACCCCAUGCCUGGCUAAUUUUUCUAUUUUUAGUAAAGGCAAGGUUUUGCCAUGAUGACCAGGCUGGUCUCUAACUCCUGACCUCAGGUGAUCUCCCCACCUUGGCUUCCCAAAGUGCUGGGAUUACAGGUGUGAGCCACUUCACCCAGCCCAGAAAUAGGUAUUAUAGUGAAAAAAUUGGAAACAACCUAAGUAUAUAUUGAAAAGAAAACCUCUAAAUAAGUACUGAUCCACUGUUAAAAGAAACUAGGUAUGUAUGUAACAAGACAGAUGGAUCUCAUAAGUAAACUGUUGAGUGACAAAACUGUAGAAUAAAUGCAGUCUAACAUUUAUAUAGAUACACAAAUAUGAUAGUUCAUGAUGUGACUAUGGAUUCAUAUAUACGAAGUAGGAUGAGUUAUGUAGAAUUGUUUUUGUUAAGUCAGAAGUAGUUAAAUACCAGAAAAUUCAUAUCAGUCCACCUGUUAGGAAAAUAAUUACAAGCUGGAAGGAUUAACACCAAAUUCAUCAUAGAUGGGUAUAGAAGGUAACAAAAACGACCUUUUUUUAUAAAGAGAAUGGGGUCUCACUCUGUUGUCCAGGCUGGUCUUGAACUCCUGGCCUCAAGUGAUCCUCCUGCCUAUGCCUCCCAAAGUGCUGGGAUUAUAGGCAUGAGCCACUGUGCGUGGCACAAAAAUGACUUUAUUGGAAAUAUUUUUCUUAGAUUAAAAAAACGGCCAGGCACAGUAGGGCAUGUCUGUAAUCCCAGCAGUUUAGGAAGCCAAGAUGAGUGGAUCUUUUGAGGUCAAGCGUUUGAGACCAGCCUGGCCAACCUAGUGAAACCCUGUUUCUACUAAAAAUACAAAAAACAAAAACAAAACUAAAAAAAACCAACAGGGUGUGGUGGUGCGUGCCUGUA
Molecule: non-coding RNA, 2305 nt
Organism: Callithrix jacchus (white-tufted-ear marmoset)
Lineage: Eukaryota; Metazoa; Chordata; Mammalia; Primates; Cebidae
Source: RefSeq, a predicted model, not a curated record